GUUCAAUCAAAAAGUUAGAAAUAUACUUUUCUAAGGUCACACAGCUAGUCUGUGUUGGAGCCAGAACUUGAAUCCAGAAAGUUUGGCUCCAGGGUAUGUCCAGGAAGCCUGUUUCCAUUCACAGGAGGUCCUGCACAUGCUGAGCCCUGAGGCCCUUCUCCAGAGGCAAGGUAGUGGUGGACUUGACAGUGACCUUGCAGAGAACAGCUGGGCCCAGAGAUAGGACACUUCCAAGCAGGAAAUAAAUCUCCCAUGUGAAAGGUGCUGUCCUUGCACCAGGAAGUGGAGAGAUAUCCUUAUCGUCAGAGACAGGGAAUUCAGGGCAGAGAAGGCUAUGCUCUCUCCAGCAAUCAACAACCAAACUGUUUCUUCUGACCCGGGCUAUCCUGAACCUGGAUUUCAGUAGGUCUUGCCUUGACCCAGCUUUCAACAGCAACAGGAAAUGCCUUCCCAGGACAUCCACCCAUUCAGGAUAAUCUCACAGGGUCUACAUAGAUGCUGGAGGUGGGAGAUCAGGCCCCUGUUCAACCUCUCCCACUCCAACACAGCUCCUGCUACCAGCAGCACCACCCCCAACCCCUCCUUGCGUCUUCUUAGAAGCUUGGGAGCCCUACUCUGCUGAUAGAGAACUUUCAAGAUGGCGCUAGCCCGUCCUUGUUCCGCUCAAGAAUCUCAUCAAUCCACGCACGGUAUCAUUGGGCUCAUGCCAGUUCUUUGCUCUGUGCUGCUCUGCCAUCUUUCUACUGCCCCAUUUCCCUGGGACAAGGCACAGGUCUGCCACCUAAGAACACAUCCAGCCAGCAAAAGAGGUGCCACUCUGCCCUUUGGCCAGCCCACUUCUCUUCAAGGCAGUCUUCCCUUGGCUUCACGAAGGGGACAGCACCCCUCCUGUCACCAGAUCACCUGCUCUGGGGAAACCCAGCUGCCAUGUUGUGAGGAUGCUCAGGCAGCCCAUGGAAGGGCUCACGGGGCGAGGAAGUGAGAUGUUCAACCAACUGCUAGCAAGAAACCGAGUCUUGCCAACAAGCACAUGAGUGAGCUUAGAAGCAGCCUCAUGUGACUCCAGUGCCGGCAGCCAGCUUGACUGCAACUUCACAAGAAACCCUGAGCCUCCACUAACCAGUUAAAUGGCUCCCCAAUUCCUAAUACAGAAAAACUGAAUUUACCAGAAUACGUUUCCUCAGGGCUCCGAGAGAAUAAGAGUUUAAUGGAAGAGAAGGAGAUGAGAUCCAGCCAAAUUCCGACCCUCAGACACCUCCUGAGGACAGCCAUUCUUUGGGGACACAGAGCUGCUUGCUCACUCCUUAAAUGGAUUUCACAUCAGAGAUGAGCUGUUGGUGAAUCCUAGGGUGUAGGAAUUUGCAGUCUAAGGACAUUAAGAUGUUAUAUGAAGAGACAUUUGCUUCCAAGACCAGCUGUCGCCAAUCAACCCCAGAGUGAACCAGACAGUCCCACCGCCAGACUUCAUGGUGGAAAGAAUCAAGGGGCUGUGAUGGGCCAACUGGCCUAACGUUAGCCGUUCAUGAACGCGACAAUAGGCCGUCAAGCCCCCAAACAGCGGAUUUGUACCCAGCAGACACCCUUCUGAGUGUGAGCUGGAAUCCAGAAUUUGCAAAGCUGCCAACCAGGCCAGUCUUGCCUCUCUGUCUCCCAGGAAGGAUAACACUUUUCACUUCCAAUUAUUGAUAACUUCUUGGCAAACUUAUGCCCCUUUUUAAGCUGUCAGCUCUGUCAGAUCAUUCAGUUAUUGAGAAUGAAGCCAAGGAAAAGGCACAAAGAGCCUAGAGGUAGAGGGAGAAGAGAUUGCUGACAGCUACCUUGGAUACAGCCAUUCCUGAUGCUGAUAUAUCCCUAGUCAUUUUAUUUCAUAACCAAUUGAUUAUCUUUACCCCAUCCCACCCCUGGGCCAAUUUAUGUUGAUUUCUGCUCCUGGCAAGUGAGAGAGCCUUGAUACCUAGCCAGACAAUACUCUAGCCAGACAAUUCAAAGACCGCAUGAAAAGAGUAGAGGAAGAGAGAGAGGAAAAGAUAGACCCGGAAAUCAGUGGAACCUCCAGAAUUGCUUCUAAACAAGCCCUUCUGUCCCCAUAGCUCUUCCCUAGUCUGGCCCACGCUGCCAAUGGAACUAGAAUCAGACCAGUGCCUGGAAAUAGGAAAGCAAGACUUGACCAUUCUCUCCUUUUUAAAAUUAUUAUUAUUUUUUAUUGCGGUCACAUUGGUUUAGAACAUUAUAUAAACUUCAAGUAUACCUCAUUAUAUUUUGAUUUCUGGAUAGACUAAGUCGUGUUCACCACCAAAAGUCUGGGUGCUAUCUGGAGACCUGACCGUCCUCUUAAACAAAUGCAAUAUUGGCUCUCUUCUUAAAUAGAAACAUUGGUCAACAAGAUCUUACUACCUUCUGAAAAAUGCUUAUGAAUGUUUUAGAAAGAUACAGAAUACCUUGCAGUUCUAUUUAAAAAGAAAAUCUGUCCCUAAUUUUUUUUCUUACCUCAAGACACUUCAAUCUCUUACACAUGAAAUCCAAUAUGUGUUUAUACACAAGCUUCUCUAUUUUCUUACUGAAAAAAAAAAUACUGUUUUUGAGGACGAAAAAUUUGUUGCUGAUAUUAUACUCUUUUAUAAUCUGUGAGUCCUAUCAAAUCAUUCACACCAUGCAUCUGUAGAAUCCAGGAGGUUCUAACUUCGAAUCCAUGAGGGAACGCAACACCAGGCGGUAAGCAGAGUAUAUAUAGAACAGAAGAUUCGAGUUGAUAUGUUGUCGACAAGAAUAAAAACUCACUUCAGUUUCCAUAUUAUUUGAAGACACACAAAAUAGAUUAAGGUCUGAGGGUCAGGAAUGAACAUUUUAUGGAAAUGAAAACAUAUAUUCAGAUAAAAAAAUAGUAUACGUCUUUUCUCAGUACAAUUAAAUAUAAGCAAAUGGGAAAAAUAUGAAGUUUAACUUUAGGGUUUUUUUCUUCUAGCUUUAGAAAACUGUGUCUUUCUAUUUACAUGUAAAACAUUAGCAUCAGAAGCAGCAACUCUACAUAAUACUACGUAAGUGUUCCAUAAAACUCAGUUCAAAUAUGCACAAGAAAAAAUUUAAAUCUAUUCAUAGUAAUGAAUGCUGUACUUAAGAAUGCAAAAUAGUCUUAGCAAUUUAAAACC
RNAcentral lists this long non-coding RNA (3146 nucleotides) under Equus asinus (donkey). RNAcentral's name for it is "lncRNA (ENSEASG00005034428.1)". The record is from RNAcentral. Lineage: Eukaryota; Metazoa; Chordata; Mammalia; Perissodactyla; Equidae.